Molecule: non-coding RNA, 696 nt
Organism: Xenopus laevis (African clawed frog)
Lineage: Eukaryota; Metazoa; Chordata; Amphibia; Anura; Pipidae
Source: the annotation of a RefSeq genome assembly
AUGGACUUCAUUAUAUUUUUCAUUUUUAUGUUUUUUUCACCAUCAUGUAUCCUCUCUCAGACAUUACAAGAGUCUGGUCCUGGAACUGUGAAACCCUCAGAGUCACUCAGACUGACCUGCACAGUUUCUGGGUUUGAGCUAACUAGCUAUGAUGUGAGCUGGAUCAGGCAGCGUCCUGGGAAAGGACUGGAAUGUAUUGGAGUUGUAUGGACUGGUGGGGGCACAGCUAUUGCUGAUUCACUUAAAAACAGAGUUACAAUUACUAGAGAAACUGGGAAGAAGCAGGUCUACCUCCAAAUGAAUGGGAUGGAAGUUAAAGACACUGCCAUGUAUUACUGUGCAAGAGACACAGUGACAGAAGAGAAUGAGGAAGUCAGACAAUAACAAAAUGUCAAAUUACAUUGCACAGUGUUGCGAAACCACAAAAGAUUAAAUCAUGAAAAUCCUACACUAAUCAGGUCAAAUAUUUAGUUAAACGUUCAUAUUUCUAUGAAUGAAUUUCUUAAUGGAAUAAGAGAAAUUCUAGCAACUAAUGUAUUUAGUUGUAACAGUUGCUCAGUUACAGACUUUAGUAAAGCUCAAUGAGCUUGAUGGGAAAUAUAUUAAUGAAUAGAUCACAUUUUUAACAGUUUAGAAUAGUGAACAGUCACUGGGAAUAAUAAGGUAAGUGGGAAAUAAAAGAAAUUCAUUUGAAAA